RNAcentral lists this ribosomal RNA (1397 nucleotides) under uncultured bacterium. Its description in RNAcentral is "16S ribosomal RNA". It matches the Rfam family "Bacterial small subunit ribosomal RNA". The record is from RNAcentral.
AGAGUUUGAUCUGGCUCAGGAUGAACGCUAGCUACAGGCUUAACACAUGCAAGUCGAGGGGCAGCAUGGUCUUAGCUUGCUAAGGCCGAUGGCGACCGGCGCACGGGUGAGUAACACGUAUCCAACCUGCCGUCUACUCUUGGACAGCCUUCUGAAAGGAAGAUUAAUACAAGAUGGCAUCAUGAGUCCGCAUGUUCACAUGAUUAAAGGUAUUCCGGUAGACGAUGGGGAUGCGUUCCAUUAGAUAGUAGGCGGGGUAACGGCCCACCUAGUCUUCGAUGGAUAGGGGUUCUGAGAGGAAGGUCCCCCACAUUGGAACUGAGACACGGUCCAAACUCCUACGGGAGGCAGCAGUGAGGAAUAUUGGUCAAUGGGCGCAGGCCUGAACCAGCCAAGUAGCGUGAAGGAUGACUGCCCUAUGGGUUGUAAACUUCUUUUAUAAAGGAAUAAAGUCGGGUAUGCAUACCCGUUUGCAUGUACUUUAUGAAUAAGGAUCGGCUAACUCCGUGCCAGCAGCCGCGGUAAUACGGAGGAUCCGAGCGUUAUCCGGAUUUAUUGGGUUUAAAGGGAGCGUAGAUGGAUGUUUAAGUCAGUUGUGAAAGUUUGCGGCUCAACCGUAAAAUUGCAGUUGAUACUGGAUAUCUUGAGUGCAGUUGAGGCAGGCGGAAUUCGUGGUGUAGCGGUGAAAUGCUUAGAUAUCACGCAGAACUCCGAUUGCGAAGGCAGCUUACUAAACUAUAACUGACACUGAAGCACGAAAGCGUGGGGAUCAAACAGGAUUAGAUACCCUGGUAGUCCACGCAGUAAACGAUGAUUACUAGCUGUUUGCGAUACACAGUAAGCGGCACAGCGAAAGCGUUAAGUAAUCCACCUGGGGAGUACGCCGGCAACGGUGAAACUCAAAGGAAUUGACGGGGGCCCGCACAAGCGGAGGAACAUGUGGUUUAAUUCGAUGAUACGCGAGGAACCUUACCCGGGUUUGAACGCAUAUUGACAGCUCUGGAAACAGAGUCUCUAGUAAUAGCAAUUUGCGAGGUGCUGCAUGGUUGUCGUCAGCUCGUGCCGUGAGGUGUCGGCUUAAGUGCCAUAACGAGCGCAACCCUUAUCACUAGUUACUAACAGGUCAUGCUGAGGACUCUAGUAAGACUGCCAGCGUAAGCUGUGAGGAAGGUGGGGAUGACGUCAAAUCAGCACGGCCCUUACAUCCGGGGCGACACACGUGUUACAAUGGUGGGGACAAAGGGCAGCUACCGUGUGAGCGGAUGCAAAUCUCCAAACCCCAUCUCAGUUCGGAUCGAAGUCUGCAACCCGACUUCGUGAAGCUGGAUUCGCUAGUAAUCGCGCAUCAGCCAUGGCGCGGUGAAUACAUUCCCGGGCCUUGUACACACCGCCCGUCA